GCCGGUUCAGUGAACGCCGCUGUUUCGUUUUCUUAGUUCGGUUCGAGUUCUGUAUGUUGAAUGCCGCUUUUAAGUUGUUGUGAGUGCUGCAAAAGUGAUAAAGGGUUGAGUUUGUGGUUGUCGUUGGUUCCGGGUGGAGAGGAAAGAGUUCGGUUGAUGCGUUUGGGUUAUGGUUUCGACGACUCGAGGUAUGGGCUUUUUAUACAAACUAAUUUAUUUUAAAUGGGAAUUGUUAUAAAUAGAUAUGCUGUGCGAAAUGUAUUUCUAGUGAUUGUGUGAGUCUUAUGAAUUGUCUGAUUUUGUCUUGAAUGAA
This is a non-coding RNA of Arachis ipaensis, 313 nucleotides long. Lineage: Eukaryota; Viridiplantae; Streptophyta; Magnoliopsida; Fabales; Fabaceae. The record is from RefSeq and is a predicted model, not a curated record.